GGCAUAGACACCAUGAAGAGGAGAGAAGCCCCUCCUAGAUGCAUUUUAUGGUCAUCAUCCACCCUUCCCACCUUAUUGGCCUUGUUGCAUGUCAGGGGAAAAGAUUAAGAGGCAUCUGAACUACUUUUACUGAAACUUUUCUGAAUGUGGACUGUGCAGAUGUGAGUGGAUUGGAGAAGGGGAAGGAGGGGAGGCGAUCAUUUGGUUAUUAUCACCAUCAACAGUUACUGAGCAGUUACUAUGAGAUUGAUAUGUUUCACGGAUUAUCCUAAUUAACAGCAAAACAAUCCUCAGAGGAAGAAGAAAGGAAAAAAAGAAGAAAGGAAGGAGGAGAGAGAAGGAAGAAGGGCGGAACGCAUAGAGAAAAGGGGAAAGGAAUGAAGAAAGGAAGAGGAGAACUAAAGAAAGAGCAAAAUUAACUCAGAAGACGGAAUUAAUGGUUAAAUCAGUGGUGGUCAUACUAUCGACCAAACCCUGCCUAGCCACCUGAUUUUGUAUGUAAAGUCUUAUUGCAACACAGUGGUGCCUAUUCAUUUGCAUAUGGCCCAUGGCUGCUUUUGCAUGGAGUGGUUAUCACAAAGACUGUACGACCCACAAAGCUUAAAUAAAAUAUUUACUAUCUGGCCUUUACAGAAAAUGUUUGCAGAUGCUUGGACUCAAUGAUUGAUGGUUCCUUAGAAGAUAGGUC
This 688-nucleotide long non-coding RNA is filed under the name Homo sapiens (human). RNAcentral describes it as "HSALNT0231034". The record is from RNAcentral. Lineage: Eukaryota; Metazoa; Chordata; Mammalia; Primates; Hominidae.